RNAcentral lists this ribosomal RNA (497 nucleotides) under uncultured bacterium. Its description in RNAcentral is "partial 16S ribosomal RNA". It matches the Rfam family "Bacterial small subunit ribosomal RNA", at positions 28 to 507 of the family's 1533-position model. The record is from RNAcentral.
GAUGAACGCUGGCGGCGUGCCUAAUACAUGCAAGUCGAGCGAACGUACGAGAAGCUUGCUUCUCUGAUGUUAUCGGCGGACGGGUGAGUAACACUUGGAUAACCUACCUAUAAGACUGGGAUAACUUCGGGAAACCGGAGCUAAUACCGGAUAAUAUUUUGAACCGCAUGGUUCAAAAGUGAAAGACGGUCUUGCUGUCACUUAUAGAUGGAUCCGCGCUGCAUUAGCUAGUUGGUAAGGUAACGGCUUACCAAGGCAACGAUGCAUAGCCGACCUGAGAGGGUGAUCGGACACACUGGAACUGAGACACGGUCCAGACUCCUACGGGAGGCAGCAGUAGGGAAUCUUCCGCAAUGGGCGAAAGCCUGACGGAGCAACGCCGCGUGAGUGAUGAAGGUCUUCGGAUCGUAAAACUCUGUUAUUAGGGAAGAACAUAUGUGUAAGUAACUGUGCACAUCUUGACGGUACCUAAUCAGAAAGCCACGGCUAACUACGUG